This 146-nucleotide ribosomal RNA is filed under the name Vibrio alginolyticus. RNAcentral describes it as "partial 16S ribosomal RNA". It matches the Rfam family "Bacterial small subunit ribosomal RNA", at positions 1 to 130 of the family's 1533-position model. The record is from RNAcentral. Lineage: Bacteria; Pseudomonadati; Pseudomonadota; Gammaproteobacteria; Vibrionales; Vibrionaceae. RNAcentral also lists the same sequence under 1 other name.
AAAUUGAAGAGUUUGAUCAUGGCUCAGAUUGAACGCUGGCGGCAGGCCUAACACAUGCAAGUCGAGCGGAAACGAGUUAUCUGAACCUUCGGGGAACGAUAACGGCGUCGAGCGGCGGACGGGUGAGUAAUGCCUAGGAAAUUGCC